UAAUGCCAGGUCACUCGGUAAAACUCUGUGAAACUUCAUUGGUUAUAGGCUGAAUGCUUAAUUUUGAAAUGUUUUUAUUCAGUUUAUUUGUUUUACCUCAUAUUUGUUUAAUCCCUGUCAAGUUUUACUUCAAAAAUCCAUCAACCGAAUUGCCUACUGUGUGCAGGAUGUAGGAUACUUCUGAAUUUGGAGGGUUGUUGAAGGAAGAGUAUGCGCAUGAGGGUGCCUGAGCUCGACGAUAUGUGUAUGUUCUAUUACCCCUUCUCCUUCUAGGGGCGUAACUUCUAGUUAGUGGGCUAUAUUUGAUUAAAAAACUACAUCAAUAAAAAAAGAGAUUGCAUGGUUAAAAAAUAUACUGUGGGCAUCUUUUGACCCUAUUGAUCUAUUCACCACAUUUUUAGCAUUGUUUUAGUUUACCAAUUGACCCGUUUAAGAUAGAAGAUAACUUAACUCAGUUUGAGCCAUUAUAAACUAAUGGGAAAGAUUCUUAUUGUGAACCCUCUUUUCGUUAGGUGAUGGCAAUAUAGAUAACUAGAUGUAUUGAAAGAACCACCCAAUCUUUGGCUGCAGAGAGCUUAAAGUGAUGUCAAAAGAAGUUGAAUAUAGUGAAUUGGCUGAUGCGGCGAUAAUAAGGAGUAAGUGCAUGGACCAACUUUGAAGUGGGAAAUACGAUCGCUAAGAAAGAGUUAACACAAUGAAUAUUUUACUCGCAUGAAGAUUGUGAAAGAGAUUCAAGAACACAAUAGAGUUUUUGUUCAAACAUUUUUUAAAUAUAUGUUUUGUAUGUUCGAUAUUUAGACGGUACGUUGACACUUAUUAGUUAUUUCUUUGCAAACAUUUGGAUUCUUUGGAAGAUGAUUGAUUGAACUUUUAAUUGAAUUAAUUAUAUUAUUAUGAUUUC
This is a long non-coding RNA of Helianthus annuus (common sunflower), 901 nucleotides long. RefSeq lists it as uncharacterized. The transcript has 2 exons. Lineage: Eukaryota; Viridiplantae; Streptophyta; Magnoliopsida; Asterales; Asteraceae. The record is from RefSeq and is a predicted model, not a curated record.